This is a long non-coding RNA of Psammomys obesus (fat sand rat), 425 nucleotides long. RefSeq lists it as uncharacterized. Lineage: Eukaryota; Metazoa; Chordata; Mammalia; Rodentia; Muridae. The record is from RefSeq and is a predicted model, not a curated record. The transcript has 2 exons.
GGGGCUUUUCCGAGUCUGGUGGCCCGGCUGUUGGAUCUAAAAGCUGGGGCUGGAGACCAGGGGUGGGGCGCUCUCCGUCUCUGUUUGCGAAACGCUGACUUGUAACAGUCCCAUCCUUUGUGCUGGAAACUUCGUGUCGUCUAGACAGAGCUGCUGAUGGUAUCCUCAGCUUUCUGCUCCCAGAUGCUUCUGAAUACUGCAAUGCUAAGCUGAUGUGACCAGAAAGCAGAGCUCAUAGCAGUGAUUUCCUUACCAGGCAAAGAGAGACACCACACAGAAGAGCAGAGGCAUGGGUAGGCAAUGGAGUACCCCAACAGCCUCUCGGAACACCUGGAUCCAGCCUGCUCAUAGCCCAGAAGUUUGUUCAUGAACUAUUUGUCAAGUCUGUCAUUUCCUUUUUAUAUACAAGAUGGUUUAAGCUUUUA